AUACAUGCAAGUUGAGCGAUGAAGAUUGGUGCUUGCACCAAUUUGAAGAGCAGCGAACGGGUGAGUAACGCGUGGGGAAUCUGCCUUUGAGCGGGGGACAACAUUUGGAAACGAAUGCUAAUACCGCAUAACAACUUUAAACAUAAGUUUUAAGUUUGAAAGAUGCAAUUGCAUCACUCAAAGAUGAUCCCGCGUUGUAUUAGCUAGUUGGUGAGGUAAAGGCUCACCAAGGCGAUGAUACAUAGCCGACCUGAGAGGGUGAUCGGCCACAUUGGGACUGAGACACGGCCCAAACUCCUACGGGAGGCAGCAGUAGGGAAUCUUCGGCAAUGGACGAAAGUCUGACCGAGCAACGCCGCGUGAGUGAAGAAGGUUUUCGGAUCGUAAAACUCUGUUGGUAGAGAAGAACGUUGGUGAGAGUGGAAAGCUCAUCAAGUGACGGUAACUACCCAGAAAGGGACGGCUAACUACGUGCCAGCAGCCGCGGUAAUACGUAGGUCCCGAGCGUUGUCCGGAUUUAUUGGGCGUAAAGCGAGCGCAGGUGGUUUAUUAAGUCUGGUGUAAAAGGCAGUGGCUCAACCAUUGUAUGCAUUGGAAACUGGUAGACUUGAGUGCAGGAGAGGAGAGUGGAAUUCCAUGUGUAGCGGUGAAAUGCGUAGAUAUAUGGAGGAACACCGGUGGCGAAAGCGGCUCUCUGGCCUGUAACUGACACUGAGGCUCGAAAGCGUGGGGGAGCAAACAGGAUUAGAUACCCUGGUAGUCCACGCCCGUAAAACAAUGAGUGCUAGAAUGUAAGGG
RNAcentral lists this ribosomal RNA (798 nucleotides) under Lactococcus lactis. RNAcentral describes it as "bacterial SSU rRNA". It matches the Rfam family "Bacterial small subunit ribosomal RNA", at positions 51 to 829 of the family's 1533-position model. The record is from RNAcentral. Lineage: Bacteria; Bacillati; Bacillota; Bacilli; Lactobacillales; Streptococcaceae.